AGAAUUUUAAUGGUCGAACAGACCAACCCUUAAAGACUUCUGCACCUUUAGGAUAUUCUGGUCCAACAUCGAGGUCACAAACCUUUUUUUCGAUUAGAACUCUCAAAAAAGAUAAUGCUGUUAUCCCUACGGUAACUAUUUCCAUUAAUCAUAAUUAUAUGGAUCAAAACAAGAAUGUUAGAAAGUUAUAAAGAAGCUUUAUUUGUUCCUUAGUCGCCCCAACUAAAAUUUUCAAUAAUUAUUUUUUACAAAGUAUGAUUUUAUUUUAUUGAUUUUUUUAAAGCUCGAUAGGGUCUUCUUGUCUUUUAAUUUAAUUCAGACUUCUUCAUCUAAAAAUAAAAUUCUAUAAAAUUAAAAAGAGACAGCUUUGCUCUUGUGAGACCAUUCAUUCUAGUCCUCAAUUAUAGGACAAGUUAUUAUGCUACCUUAGCACAGUUAAGAUACUGCGGCCGUUAAAAAAUCACUGGGCAGGCCGGACUCUUUAUAUAAUAUUUUCAAAGAGCC
RNAcentral lists this ribosomal RNA (504 nucleotides) under Crepidula ustulatulina. Its description in RNAcentral is "partial 16S ribosomal RNA". Lineage: Eukaryota; Metazoa; Mollusca; Gastropoda; Littorinimorpha; Calyptraeidae. The record is from RNAcentral.